Molecule: ribosomal RNA, 655 nt
Filed under: Bryodelphax parvulus
Lineage: Eukaryota; Metazoa; Tardigrada; Heterotardigrada; Echiniscoidea; Echiniscidae
Description: eukaryotic LSU rRNA
Rfam family: Eukaryotic large subunit ribosomal RNA
Source: RNAcentral
UUCAACAUAUGCGCAAGCUGUUGGGUGUUUUGUAUACCCGAAGGCUUAGUGAAAGCAAGCGAUGUUAUUUGGUGGCAUCAUAGAGGCGAGAUCUUUGUGUACGAGUAGUGUGUUUACUCAUAUUAUUCGCAUGCAUAAAGCGCAUCGCCGACCCGUUUAAUGGCCACGCGCCAUGGACGGAGUUAGAGCGCAUACGCUGAGACCCGAAAGAUGGUGAACUAUGCCUGGGCAGGAUGAAGCCAGAGGAAACUCUGGUGGAAGUCCGUAGCGAUUCUGACGUGCAAAUCGAUCGUCUGACCUGGGUAUAGGGGCGAAAGACUAAUCGAACCAUCUAAUAGCUGGUUCCCUCCGAAGUUUCCCUCAGGAUAGCUGGUACUCGAGACAAUUGUAAGCAGUCUCUCCCGGUAAAGCGAAUGAUUAGAGGACUUGGGAUCAAAACGAUCUCAACCUAUUCUCAAACUUUAAAUGGGUGAGAAGUCCAACUUACUUGAUUGAAGUUUGGACCCAAUCGGAUGCAUGAGUGCCUAGUGGGCCAUUUUUGGUAAGCAGAACUGGCGCUGCGGGAUGAACCGAACGUUGAGUUACGGCGCCUGAUUAUAAACGCUCAUCAGAUACCACAAAAGGUGUUGGUUGCUAUAGACAGCAGGACGGGGCC